Molecule: unclassified non-coding RNA, 345 nt
Filed under: soil metagenome
Description: partial contains 5.8S ribosomal RNA, internal transcribed spacer 2, and large subunit ribosomal RNA
Rfam family: 5.8S ribosomal RNA (bases 1-119)
Source: RNAcentral
GAUGAAGAAUGCAGCGAAAUGCGAUACGUAAUGUGAAUUGCAAAUUCAGUGAAUCAUCGAGUCUUUGAACGCACAUUGCGCCCCCUGGUAUUCCGGGGGGCAUGCCUGUCCGAGCGUCAUUGCUGCCCUCAAGCACGGCUUGUGUGUUGGGCCCCGUCCUCCGAUUCCGGGGGACGGGCCCGAAAGGCAGCGGCGGCACCGCGUCCGGUCCUCGAGCGUAUGGGGCUUUGUCACCCGCUCUGUAGGCCCGGCCGGCGCUUGCCGAUCAACCCAAAUUUUUAUCCAGGUUGACCUCGGAUCAGGUAGGGAUACCCGCUGAACUUAAGCAUAUCAAUAAGCGGAGGA